Molecule: non-coding RNA, 94 nt
Organism: Postia placenta MAD-698-R-SB12
Lineage: Eukaryota; Fungi; Basidiomycota; Agaricomycetes; Polyporales; Adustoporiaceae
Source: the annotation of a RefSeq genome assembly
GUUCCUAUCGAUUAGUGGUCAGAUCAUCACGUUGUGGUUGUACCAAGUGUACAGCGAAACCGUGGGGACGGGGGCUCGAAUUCCCCUAGGAACA